This 612-nucleotide long non-coding RNA is filed under the name Mytilus galloprovincialis (Mediterranean mussel). Lineage: Eukaryota; Metazoa; Mollusca; Bivalvia; Mytilida; Mytilidae. The record is from RNAcentral.
GGGCUAGAAUUAAAAAUGUUGUCCUGCAUUUUUCUAGUUGUAAUCAUUGGGGAGGGAGGAUUGGACCGGGAUAUCUUUUUAAGCUCAGGAUUUCAGGAUCCGGGAAUUGUUUUUUUUUCGAAUUUCGGGAUGUCAGGAUUCAAAUUUAUUUUAACUCGGGAUUUCGUGUUUUUAAGCCCUGGAUUUCGAGAUCAGGACCCCUCCUACCCUCCCUUAUCUGACAUCAUUUUCCUGCAUUUUUAUUCUUCAUUUUUUAGGGACCUUUAUUUUCAUUAUUCAGUUUAUCCUAAUAUUGUUAACAUAAUUGUAAUCUGCUUGUUAUGCCAAAUUACUGUUCCUGCCUUUGUUUGCUCAAAAGCCUGUCUUGCCUUUUUUCAAAUUUUAUCCAAGCCCCCUCCUCAAAUGGUAGUUCCCUCUGACAAUACAAUUUUAAUUUAACAAAAUAAAUAAAUAAACCAUGGACAAUUAUACAAUGCUUCUGUUCGUAGGUCUUCGUACCAAAUUGAUUAAAAUCAAAACUGAAUUGACUCCACAAUACUUAUUUUUUAAAAACCAUACCUGUAGUUUUUAAUGAAAUACACUAUGCUUUUAUGGGCUUAGUAAUACACUUAG